CCUACGGGGGGCAGCAGUGGGGAAUAUUGGACAAUGGGGGGAACCCUGAUCCAGCCAUGCCGCGUGUGUGAAGAAGGCCCUCGGGUUGUAAAGCACUUUCAGUGAGGAAGAACGCCUGGUGGUUAAUACCCAUCAGGAAAGACAUCACUCACAGAAGAAGCACCGGCUAACUCCGUGCCAGCAGCCGCGGUAAUACGGAGGGUGCGAGCGUUAAUCGGAAUUACUGGGCGUAAAGCGCGCGUAGGUGGCUUGAUAAGCCGGUUGUGAAAGCCCGGGGCUCAACCUGGGAACGGCAUCCGGAACUGUCAAGCUAGAGUGCAGGAGAGGAAGGUAGAAUUCCCGGUGUAGCGGUGAAAUGCGUAGAGAUCGGGAGGAAUACCAGUGGCGAAGGCGGCCUUCUGGACUGACACUGACACUGAGGUGCGAAAGCGUGGGUAGCAAACAGGAUUAGAUACCCUUGUAGUC
RNAcentral lists this ribosomal RNA (465 nucleotides) under Vreelandella stevensii. RNAcentral's name for it is "partial 16S ribosomal RNA". It matches the Rfam family "Bacterial small subunit ribosomal RNA", at positions 338 to 795 of the family's 1533-position model. Lineage: Bacteria; Pseudomonadati; Pseudomonadota; Gammaproteobacteria; Oceanospirillales; Halomonadaceae. The record is from RNAcentral.